CCUACGGGAGGCAGCAGUGAGGAAUAUUGGUCAAUGGGCGCGAGCCUGAACCAGCCAAGUAGCGUGAAGGAUGACUGCCCUACGGUUUGUAAACAUCUUUUAUAAAGGAAUAAAGUUAGGCACGUGUGCCUUUUUGUAUUUACUUUAUGAAUAAGAAUCGGCUAACUCCAUGCCAGCAGACGCGGUAAUACGGAGGAUUCGAGCGUUAUCCGGAUUUAUUGGGUUUAAAGGGAGAGUAGAUGGGUUGUUAAGUCAGUUGUGAAAGGUUGCGGCUCAACCGUAAAAUUGCAAUUGAUACUGGCAGACUUGAGUAUCGUAGAGGUAGGCGGAAUUCGAGGUGUAGCGGUGAAAUGCUUAGAUAUCACGAAGAACUCCGAUUGCGAAGGCAGCCUACUAAAC
This 399-nucleotide ribosomal RNA is filed under the name uncultured bacterium. RNAcentral's name for it is "partial 16S ribosomal RNA". It matches the Rfam family "Bacterial small subunit ribosomal RNA", at positions 338 to 734 of the family's 1533-position model. The record is from RNAcentral.